GACGCCACGAAGGAGUUGUCCCGGACGGACGCCACGAAGGAAUUCUCCCCCGGCGGCCCCGCAGGCGAGAGCGCGGCUGACUGGUGCCUCUACCAGCUCAAUGGAGCAGCCGAGUUCGAGGUGUGUGAAGGUUUUUUUUGUUUCAAGGUUUAGAUGGAGACCCUGCUAAUGGCUGUCUAUGAAGAAAAUGAAAUUAUAUAUACCACAUAUGCUGUCAUGCCCAUGGCUUCCCUACAUUCCCAAAAUGUCCCUCCCUAGGCCUGUCUUCAGCUCAUCAAAAAGCUUCUUCCUAAGCCAAGUGGGCCUCCUGCCGAAACUCCUAGUCUUUACAUAGUGCCUUCUUCCUGCCUGAAUUCUCAAACAUCAAGAAGCUCUCCUGGGAACGCUUCGACCUUAUGCCUGUUCUCCUGGGAUUUUACCCUGCUGUUCUCUUUAAU
Long non-coding RNA from Lepidothrix coronata (blue-crowned manakin), 437 nucleotides. RefSeq lists it as uncharacterized. The record is from RefSeq and is a predicted model, not a curated record. NCBI's taxonomy places the organism in Eukaryota, Metazoa, Chordata, Aves, Passeriformes, Pipridae. The transcript has 5 exons.